CGCUUGUCACCCGCCACAGCUGCCGCACCCCUCCUCCAUCAUCUCUUUCCUCUCGCAUCCUCCCGCGCCGGACGCCGCUAGGCUCCUCCCUAUCUCGUCCCGGCCCGACCCAGGCGGAUCCAGGGGUAGCAGAGAGGAGGAAGGGAGAUAGAACGACGGGGAAGGGGAUGAAUAGCAGAGAGGAGGAAGGGAGGUAGAGGAACAACGGGGAAGGGGAUGGACAGGAGCUUCAUGCCCAAAGUCCAGUCGCCCCAGGCCGUGCCUACACGAGCAGCGCCGUGGGUAGAUGCUUCCCCGCCCAACGAGGAUGGCGAGGUAGGUGUUGACAAUGGCAGCCCGAGGCCGUCAAAUCUGUCACCAUCGCCGUUCUUUUGGUCGAGGCCGCCCUCGUUCACGUGCUCCUCCUCACCCCCACGGCUAGACGCUGGCGAGGCCAGCCUCCCCUCCAUGCGCAGAUUAUCUUCGUCUCUGGUGUUUCGCUGGCCAUUGGGCUGAAGUCAACCGUACAGUUCUUCACAAAGCCCAAGAAUCGCAAGGUCAUAUGCAUGUAACGAUGCAGGCCUAAGAAUUAGUCAUGUAUCCAAAUUGUUCAGUUCCAGUUCAGUUAUGAGCUAACAAGAUCACCUGAAUGUGCAAUGUUCGAUUGCUUUCAGGGUCGUACUUUUCCUUGUCCUUAUUGGCUGGCCUGUCUUCAGUAUGAUGGCAGAGUCGUAUGGCUUUGCCCUGCUAUUCAGGUCACCUCUGUGUCUCCCGCCAGUCCACGACAUAGGUUGCAAUCUAGGUUGUUGCCAAGUUAACUUUAGGAUGGUAACCUACAAUGUACAACCCAAGAGAUCGACAGUGUUUAUUAUACUGUCAUGCCUCUACUUUUGUGUUGUAUAUAUAGCUGCUUGUAUAUCUAAUUGGAUUGUUCAGAUUAGAUACUUUAUGAAAUUAUUAAUACAUGAAAAUUUUGUUUCUUUA
This is a long non-coding RNA of Triticum aestivum (bread wheat), 963 nucleotides long. RefSeq lists it as uncharacterized. Lineage: Eukaryota; Viridiplantae; Streptophyta; Magnoliopsida; Poales; Poaceae. The record is from RefSeq and is a predicted model, not a curated record. The transcript has 3 exons.